This 28-nucleotide non-coding RNA is filed under the name Rattus norvegicus (Norway rat). The record is from RNAcentral. Lineage: Eukaryota; Metazoa; Chordata; Mammalia; Rodentia; Muridae.
UAAACCUUCAGAGAGGCAGACACGCCUG